GAUGAACGCUAGCGGCAGGCUUAACACAUGCAAGUCGAGGGGCAGCACUUCGGGUGGCGACCGGCGCACGGGUGAGUAACGCGUAUGCAACCUACCUUUAACUGGGGGAUAGCCCAGGGAAACUUGGAUUAAUACCCCAUAAGACAUUAUUAUCGCAUGAUAAAGAUGUUAAAGUUCCGGCGGUUAAAGAUGGGCAUGCGUGCCAUUAGGUAGUUGGCGGGGUAACGGCCCACCAAGCCUGCGAUGGCUACGGGGUCUAAAAGGAUGGUCCCGCACACUGGUACUGAGACACGGACCAGACUCCUACGGGAGGCAG
Molecule: ribosomal RNA, 316 nt
Filed under: uncultured Bacteroidota bacterium
Lineage: Bacteria; Pseudomonadati; Bacteroidota
Description: bacterial SSU rRNA
Rfam family: Bacterial small subunit ribosomal RNA
Source: RNAcentral